Dioscorea cayenensis subsp. rotundata (Guinea yam) is the source of this 606-nucleotide long non-coding RNA. RefSeq lists it as uncharacterized. The record is from RefSeq and is a predicted model, not a curated record. Lineage: Eukaryota; Viridiplantae; Streptophyta; Magnoliopsida; Dioscoreales; Dioscoreaceae. The transcript has 6 exons.
AUUAUUUGUGCUCUUUUAGAUCAUAUUUCAAACAAGGUUGUUCAUCAUUGAAGUUUAGCUUUAAGUGCUGAAGUAAAAGGAAAAGUUUGCUAAUGCAGAUUGAUUCAUCAAUAUUAUCCAAGUCUUGCUAACAAUACUUGUGAUUGGCAAUAAGGCUGCCACAGAAGUAUUCAUGAACAGUUGACCUAGGGAAUGAAAACCGAACUUAAAACAGAAGCUCUUCAUAAUCUCAUGGAAAUAGGAAGUGCAAUAUACUUUAUGGGCCGUCUGGAUAUUGUAUUGGGAGAGUGACACAACACAAUUCAUUCAGACGUCACCAUGGUUAGGGUUUAUUUUUGGAAGUGACGGACAAACGAAACAAGUUCAUGGAGCUGAAGGGAGUCCUAUAGUUCAUUGACUUCGAACUGCAACUGCUAAAAUUGUAUCCAACCCUACAUGCCCAAAUCCAUCAUCCUUUCUCACCGUGUCAAAACAAGCAGAGGUUGCUGCUUAUGUACGUGUGAAAAAAAUAUCAUCAUUGGUGUUGGCAGGCUAAACGUUCGAUGCAAGCUUAUUGUUCACAUCUUCUUGAGCAUAGAGUUUGUGGUUUAAACUUGAAUCAUUAAG